UACGGAGGAUCCGAGCGUUAUCCGGAUUUAUUGGGUUUAAAGGGUGCGUAGGCGGUUUGAUAAGUUAGAGGUGAAAUGUCGGGGCUCAACCCCGAAACUGCCUCUAAUACUGUUGGACUAGAGAAUAGUUGCGGUAGGCGGAAUGUAUGGUGUAGCGGUGAAAUGCUUAGAGAUCAUACAGAACACCGAUUGCGAAGGCAGCUUACCAAACUAUAUCUGACGUUGAGGCACGAAAGCGUGGGUAGCAGACAGG
This 253-nucleotide ribosomal RNA is filed under the name uncultured bacterium. RNAcentral describes it as "partial 16S ribosomal RNA". It matches the Rfam family "Bacterial small subunit ribosomal RNA", at positions 524 to 776 of the family's 1533-position model. The record is from RNAcentral.